CGGGGAGGCAGUACGACCCUCGGGAGCCUCUGCCUCCGCCCUUUGGCCUUGGUCCCUGACCGUGAACGCCCCAGGCCCAGGGACCUCCUUCGGCAGAUGAGGGCUGGCAGAGACCUGGGGGGCGCAGACUCCUGAGGCAGGAGGGCUAUUCCUUGUGCAUCCCAGGACUUUACCCGUGAUCGUGAACAUGAACGUGUUUUCAACCCCUGCUGUUUCCCCAGCGCCUCAUCCCUCCUGCUAGGAGUCAUUCCCGAAGCCUGUAUUGAGAUUCUGGUUGUGCCUGCCAGUCUGAGCCCGGUAAAGAGAGAAGAAAACGCGAGUCACUGGUCUGAGGGAGUGUAGACAGAAACCCUCAAAGGAAGCCCGUUGUCCUAACAGAGCACACACAUUGGUGAAGUGACGGGGAAGGUUUCUGCUGUGUGCAACAUAAGGGGGACUCGCCCUUCUGGAUUUGAAACCUCAACUUGUUCCCAAUUUUGAGACUUUCAGACUCAGACAAUGAACAUCACCUUCAGUAAAAAGGCAUGAGUUGAGACUCCUCCAGAAUUAGUUCUGGACAAAACUGUGAUCAUCUCCCCUCCCACCCCAUGCUUUUACACCCUAAGCCCCCCUCCUUACCUGUCCUGAUCCUUAGGAGCCCCAAAAUGACCUAAAAUUUUUCUCUGGCAGUCUAGGGUGCUUCACUUUAGCAUUCUUCUGUGGUGAACAUUACCUGCCACUCACGCUGGUUCCCACAUGCCAAGCUAAUUUCAACAACGGAUGAAGUGGGUACCUCCAUGUGAUGGCUGAGGAAACAGGUUCUGGGUGUUGCAACUAAGCUUCAUGGAGGCAGCCAUGACAGAGCAGAGCCUUCCAUCCUUCUGUCCAGGUCGGCAGCCUCUCCCAAAGCAGGACUCCAUGGGCCAGGCUCUUUCCACCCCCACCCUGCUUCUUCAGGCCAAUUCUUACAUGAGAGAACUCCUCUUAUUGGGGGCUACCUUCCACACCAGACUCUCCAGAGUACAUCUUUACAGCUCUAUAAUCUUCUGGCAUUUAUUUACAUUGUCUAAUAAUUUCCUGGAAAUACACUUAGUAUUUUUAGUUAUAAGAAGAAUUGAAAAACAAUAUUGCUAUUCUAGAAGAAGUGCAUUUAUUUAUUUUGCAUUUGCAGUUCACCCAGAGGCUGGCUGUGCAGACAAAUGCUUGGGAAGGACAGGGCUCUCUAAAGUGAUUCUAGCCUGAGCAAUUUCCAAAGUGCUGAGUUGAGACAGCUGAGGAGCACAAUUAGUGUAAAAGAAAGACUACAGAUGGAACAGUUCAUGUCAUUUGAAGCAUAAUUAUUAGAAUAGACAUCAAGAAUUUAAGGCAAGCAUCAUAUAUAUAUCAAGUAGGGAGGAGAACUUAUUAGUAACAUUAAGCAAGAGGAAGAAAUAAUUGUUUUAAACCUACUGGAAGCAUUAAGUAUGAAGAAAGUAAUAAAAUAAAGGGCACAUUGAAGGAAUGAAUAGCAGAAUGUAGCACAACAGUGUGACUAUUGUCAAUAAUAAUUAAUUGUACAUUUUAAAAAUAACUCAAAGAGCAUGAUUGAAUUGUUAGUAACACAAAAGAUAAAAGCUUGAAAGGAAGGAUACCUCAUUCUCCAUGAU
This 1625-nucleotide long non-coding RNA is filed under the name Callithrix jacchus (white-tufted-ear marmoset). RNAcentral describes it as "lncRNA (ENSCJAG00000057449.2)". The record is from RNAcentral. Lineage: Eukaryota; Metazoa; Chordata; Mammalia; Primates; Cebidae.